GGAGGGUGCAAGCGUUGUUCGGAAUUACUGGGCGUAAAGCGUGUCUAGGCUGAAACGUAAGUCAUGUGUGAAAGACCUUGGCUCAACCAAGGAAUUGCGCCUGAAACUACGCUUCUUGAGAUGCAGAGAGGUGAGUAGAAUUCCUAGUGUAGCAGUGAAAUGCGUUGAUAUUAGGAAGAAUACCAGUUGCGAAGGCAGCUCACUGGCUGCACACUGACGCUGAAGCACGAAAGCGUGGGUAGCAAACAGGAUUAGAUACCCUGGUAGUCCCACGCCCGUAAACGAUGGAUACUAGGUGUCGGGGGAAUUGACCCCUUCGGUGCCGGCGCUAACGCAUUAAGUAUCCCCGCCUGGGGAGUACGGUCGCAAGAUUA
Molecule: ribosomal RNA, 374 nt
Filed under: uncultured organism
Description: partial 16S ribosomal RNA
Rfam family: Bacterial small subunit ribosomal RNA
Source: RNAcentral